Rhincodon typus (whale shark) is the source of this 1563-nucleotide long non-coding RNA. RefSeq lists it as uncharacterized. Lineage: Eukaryota; Metazoa; Chordata; Chondrichthyes; Orectolobiformes; Rhincodontidae. The transcript is spliced from 3 exons. The record is from RefSeq and is a predicted model, not a curated record.
GAAGGCAGUGAACCGUCAAAAUGCCAGUACACUGCCGCAAGUAUUUAUACACUACUUGUAAUUAAUAUCUAGUAAAUUCACUUGUUGUCACGAACAAAAAAGUUCGUAAACACGGCGUGUUUCCAGACUCAGCGAAGCCACCCCUCCUCGAGCUUUACAGUUUACAACAUCCCAACGGUUUGACAUUUUUUCCGCAGCGGUCCGACAAGCUGUAUAACCGCAACCGCACGCAUCGCUAUGAUCACUGUUCCACUUUUAAAUGGACAUGAAGAAUUCUUGACGUGGAAUUCAGAGCAGGUACACCACCAGUAGUUCCAGCUGUGACCAACACUUCCAGGCUCAACAGGCAAGCUACUGUGCAUUACAUGUCACCCAAAUGAGAGGCAGUGUUGGAGGAACCUGAUCCGGUGCUAAAACAUUCCAGGAAGAGCUACAAAUAAAAAUAAAUCAGCCUAUGUCCACGGACUCAGAGGUGGAGGGAUAUAGUGAUUGUAACAAUGUCAGCCAGGUGGAUCUCAAAGGAUAUGAGUUGUCUGAAUGAGGCUGUUAAUCUGGUCCUUAUCAGGGACCCCUGUCUGACAGAUAUAAACAGAACCAUCAGAGUUUCUGUCCGCUCUGAGAGCCGGCUCUGAGGAAGCUGGAUCAAUGUCAAUAACUUUCCACAUGUAAAUAAAGGGUGACUUGCCUCUGUCACCUGCCUCUGUGGAGUUAUUUCGGAAAGCACAGGAAAAAUACAAGCAGAAAAAUAUUAAAAUCAUAAUUUAAAAAGUAGAGUUGGGAAUCUUUGAUCUAAAAAUAGGGCUGUGCCUGAAUUGUUUUGCAAUGAUGGUGCAGGACAUGUGGCAGCUACCUAUGAAGCCUGUAGCAGAAUAGUGGCAAAUUGGUCUAUUGGCUUCAUUAGAAUGUAUUCAGUGAGCUGAAAGCACCAUUCACAGCAUCAAUGGCAGCUUUUUGGUGAUGGGAGGGAGUGAAUUUGGAUGAAGGGUAUCAAUAAGGGGCAGUGAUAACUGCAGGAGCUUCCGGUUUAAAUGUUUUCUGACUCCAAGUUAAGCUAAGUUUUUUUAAUGCUGACCCUUUUGGUGAUGGUUUCAAGUGGUUUAUUUAAUGAUUGCUGGAGAAGGUACAUGUGGACAAAGAGAAGUCAUAUUGGUUCACCAUUGCAGAGACUUCUCUGGCACAUAGAACAGGACUAGGGGCUUAACUAGGGGCUGACCCCUGUAUUAGUACAAAUGUGGAAAAUUACUUUUAAUGCAGCCAACCUUGAUUGUGCUGUGCUCAAGAUUGCAUGAGAACAUAAGUAGAUUGGUGAGUGUGCUACAUGGGCCAUUGAAUCCACUUCUCAUUCAAUAUGAAGAUCAGUUAAGAACAACCAGAUGAAAGCAGACUAACAUUGCCAAAUAAAAUUAUUUCAAUCAGAAUGUUAUAAAUCGUUAUAAGUCUAUGGGAAUGAUUUUCUCAUGUGUUUACAUGUUGUGUCAUUCUAAAUAAUUCUAAAAGCUCAGAUUUCAAUUUUUAGCAAGGUAUCUUACAGACAAGGAUCGGGUGUACAGUAAACGAUCUAGC